AUACGUAGGGGGCGAGCGUUGUCCGGAAUGAUUGGGCGUAAAGGGCGCGUAGGCGGCUUUGCAAGUCAGUAGUGGAAGUCCAUUUUUCAAGGAUGGAAGUGCUACAGAAACUGCGGAGCUUGAGUGCAGGAGAGGUUAUCGGAAUUCCCGGUGUAGCGGUGAAAUGCGUAGAGAUCGGGAGGAACACCAGUGGCGAAGGCGGGUAACUGGACUGCAACUGACGCUGAGGCGCGAAAGUGUGGGGAGCAAACAGGAUUAGACACCCUGGUAGUCCACACUGUAAACGAUGAAUGCUAGGUGUAGGAGGUAUCGACCCCUUCUGUGCCGCAGUAAACACAGUAAGCAUUCCGCCUGGGGAGUACGGUCGCAAGAUUAAAACUCAAAGGAAUUGACGGGG
Molecule: ribosomal RNA, 397 nt
Filed under: uncultured bacterium
Lineage: Bacteria
Description: partial 16S ribosomal RNA
Rfam family: Bacterial small subunit ribosomal RNA
Source: RNAcentral